Non-coding RNA from Parasteatoda tepidariorum (common house spider), 822 nucleotides. NCBI's taxonomy places the organism in Eukaryota, Metazoa, Arthropoda, Arachnida, Araneae, Theridiidae. The record is from RefSeq and is a predicted model, not a curated record.
GGCAUAUAUGAGUUUGUUUUGAGGUAUAUAUGAGGUAUAUUUGAGUUUGCUGAGAAAACCAUAAAAAUUAUACCUCGUAAAGGUUGUAAUUGAGAUGUACGAGGUUGUUUUGCAUACACUUCAGCUCAUUUUGAGGUCGUUUAAUAUUCACUUCAAAUCAGCUAGGCCGAUGAGGUGAUUUUCAAGAUAUACGGGUCGUUUUUCCUGAUGCCUAUACUUAUAACAAAAAAGAUAUUUAUGAGGCAUAAAAAUUUACCUUAUUUCAACGAGAGUGAGGUAUUUACGAGGUAUAAAAAUAUACCUUAUUUCAGCCAGGAGAAAGUGAGGUAUUUAGUGAGGUAUUUAGUGAGGUAUUUAUUGAGAUUUAUUGAGGUCACACACAUUUUAUAUAUACCUAAGCUCAUUUUGAGGUUCUUUUAAGUUCACUUUAUAUCAACCAAACUGAUGAGGCGAAUUCUAAGGUAUACAAGGUUGUUUUUCUGACACUUAUAACAAAAGAGGUAUGAGGUAUAAAAAUUUCACGUUAUUUUAACUAAAGAUAGUCAGGUAUUUAUUAAGGUGUAUGAAGUCACACACACAUCUUAUUUAUACCUGAGCUUAUUUUGAGGUUGUUUAAAGUACACUUCAUAUUAACUAGCUCACUUCCCAGAGUUCCGUGCUGGCCGACGAAUGGCGUGUGUGUUGGCAAUCGAAAGUCUAUGCGAAAUUCGGUUCCAAAACUUCCAAGUUUCAACAGGUAGACGGAAUCCAUAUUUAAAAUAAUUUUAUUGGUUUGUAAAAAAACUGAAAUUUUUGUUUUAAAUAAAAGUAAUUUGAAUUGCA